Molecule: long non-coding RNA, 870 nt
Filed under: Medicago truncatula (barrel medic)
Lineage: Eukaryota; Viridiplantae; Streptophyta; Magnoliopsida; Fabales; Fabaceae
Description: lncRNA gene28918
Source: RNAcentral
GUGCAAUUUCAUGGAGGUAAUUGAAGUUUUGUUAAUUUCAUAGGGUAAUUGACAAAACUUACAAUUUCAUAGGGGUAAUUGCCUAUUUACUCCUUCUUCCUUUUUUUUCUUCUUCUCUUUUCUCCCACCUUCUCUUCUCUGUUUCUGUUCUUCCAUUUCUUCUUCCUUCUCUUAUUUCUUCUCUUCUCUCCCACCUUAUCUUCUCCUCUCUCCCUUUUUUGCUUCAAGCAAAAAAUCAAAAUCAAAACCAAAUUCAUAAGAUUUAUUUUGUUUUCAAGGUUUGAUUUUUGAAAGUAAAAUUGAAAUCAAAAGCAAAAAAUCGAAAUCGAAAUCAACCAUGAUGUGGGUUUGAUUUUUGAUUUGUUUUCUGGGUUUGAUUCAAGCUGAUUGGAACAUAAAUCGAACAGAAGAAGGGUUGGAUUCAAGCUGAUUGAUUCAAGCUGAUUUGUUUUCUGGGUUUGAUAAGGGUUCGAAAUUCAGUUGUGUAGUUGCUGUUGUUGUCAUUCCAACAACAACAGUUGAAUUUUCAAACUCUCAAACAACAGACUUAUGAUUCCUUCAUCUUCUCCAUCGAGUUGUUUUCUGGGUUGUCGUUGUUGUUGAUUGGCCGAAAAUGGGUUGUUUGGAUCCGAAAGUGUUGCUUGCUAUGUUGUUGUUGAUUGCAUCCAAAUGUAUUAUUGUUGUUUGUGUGUUGAUUAAAUGGGAUUGAAGGGAAAGAAGAGAAGAGAAGAGAUGGGGGGACGAGAGAAGAGAAGAGAAGUGAGAAAGAAGAAUAGAUGGAUUGAAGAGGAGAGAGAGAGGACUUGAAGAAUUUUUUUAAAAAAUUCUUGUUUUUUAAAGUUUUUUUUUUAAUUGUCUUUCAAAAAAAAA